Molecule: long non-coding RNA, 471 nt
Filed under: Malus domestica (apple)
Lineage: Eukaryota; Viridiplantae; Streptophyta; Magnoliopsida; Rosales; Rosaceae
Description: long non-coding RNA (MDOM_LNC017495)
Source: RNAcentral
GAGUCUGGCUCUCGAGAUUCGGAGGGCGGUGCCUCUUCGAUUUUGGAGCAAGCAAUCUUGUUGGGAGUGUUUUCUCGAAUGUGAGUAAAGGUUGGGCAUGUUUGCUAGUCUACCUUGCCACGAAGCACAGAGGUUGACACACAGGGACUUUCCAAUUAUCCAGCAAUGGUACUGUUCCUUUACCCUCUCUUCGAUUUUUUAAGAAAGUAGUCAUGUUGGGAGUCUGGCUCUCGAGAUUCGGAGGACGGUGCCUCUUCGAUUUUGGAGCAAGCAAUCUUAUUGGGAGUGUUUUCUCGAAUGUGAGUAAAGGUUGGGCAUGUUUGCUAGUCUACCUUGCCACGAAGCGCAGAGGUUGACACACAGGGACUUUCCAAUUAUCCAGCAGUGGUACUGUUCCUUUACCCUUGUGGGUAAUAAUAUGGUAGCUAGACCUUCAAAAUUUAUGGGUCUAAACUUUGUUAGUGCUGUUUC